UAGUUCCAGCAACAACA
This 17-nucleotide small RNA is filed under the name Arabidopsis thaliana (thale cress). Its description in RNAcentral is "ATSL052070". Lineage: Eukaryota; Viridiplantae; Streptophyta; Magnoliopsida; Brassicales; Brassicaceae. The record is from RNAcentral.